RNAcentral lists this unclassified non-coding RNA (372 nucleotides) under uncultured fungus. Its description in RNAcentral is "partial contains small subunit ribosomal RNA, internal transcribed spacer 1, and 5.8S ribosomal RNA". The stretch from base 1 to 73 matches the Rfam family "Eukaryotic small subunit ribosomal RNA", at positions 1759 to 1831 of the family's 1831-position model. The record is from RNAcentral. Lineage: Eukaryota; Fungi.
CCAAACUUGGUCAUUUAGAGGAAGUAAAAGUCGUAACAAGGUUUCCGUAGGUGAACCUGCGGAAGGAUCAUUAUUGAAUAAGAAAGGUGGGUUGUAGCUGGCUUUUCGAAGCAAGUGCACGCCCACUAACUUAAUUCAUCCCCCUGUGCACCUUUUGUAGUCCUGUAUGCAGAGUGGCUUGAAGGCCUCGUAUGUGAAGAGGAGUGAUUCUUUUCACUGAGGUGAUUGGGACCUAUGCUACUCAGGUCUAUGAUUUUUCCACACACCAUGUAGUAUGUUACAGAAUGUGAUUGAUGGGCCUUUGUGCCUAUACAACUCUAUACAACUUUCAGCAACGGAUCUCUUGGCUCUCGCAUCGAUGAAGAACGCAGC